AGUGAACGCUGGCGGUAGGCCUAACACAUGCAAGUCGAACGGCAGCACAGAGGAGCUUGCUCCUUGGGUGGCGAGUGGCGGACGGGUGAGGAAUACAUCAGAAUCUACUCUGUCGUGGGGGAUAACGUAGGGAAACUUACGCUAAUACCGCAUACGACCUACGGGUGAAAGCAGGGGACCUUCGGGCCUUGCGCGAUUGAAUGAGCCGAUGUCGGAUUAGCUAGUUGGCGGGGUAAAGGCCCACCAAGGCGACGAUCCGUAGCUGGUCUGGGAGGAUGAUCAGCCACACUGGAACUAGGACACGGUCCAGACUCCUACGGGAGGCAGCAGUGGGGAAUAUUGGACAAUGGGCGCAAGCCUGAUCCAGCCAUACCGCGUGGGUGAAGAAGGCCUUCGGGUUGUAAAGCCCUUUUGUUGGGAAAGAAAUCCAGCUGGCUAAUACCCGGUUGGGAUGACGGUACCCAAAGAAUAAGCACCGGCUAACUUCGUGCCAGCCGCCGCGGUAA
This 506-nucleotide ribosomal RNA is filed under the name uncultured bacterium. RNAcentral describes it as "partial 16S ribosomal RNA". It matches the Rfam family "Bacterial small subunit ribosomal RNA", at positions 29 to 523 of the family's 1533-position model. The record is from RNAcentral.